RNAcentral lists this ribosomal RNA (275 nucleotides) under uncultured bacterium. RNAcentral describes it as "partial 16S ribosomal RNA". It matches the Rfam family "Bacterial small subunit ribosomal RNA", at positions 399 to 691 of the family's 1533-position model. The record is from RNAcentral.
GCGUGAGCGAUGAAGGCCUUAGGGUCGUAAAACUCUUUCGCCUGCGAUGAUAAUGACAGUAGCAGGUAAAGAAACCCCGGCUAACUCCGUGCCAGCAGCCGCGGUAAUACGGAGGGGGUUAGCGUUGUUCGGAAUUACUGGGCGUAAAGCGCGCGUAGGCGGAUUGGAAAGUUAGAGGUGAAAUCCCGGGGCUCAACCCCGGAACGGCCUUUAAAACUCCCAGUCUAGAGUUCGAGAGAGGUGAGUGGAAUUCCAAGUGUAGAGGUGAAAUUCGU